This 497-nucleotide ribosomal RNA is filed under the name uncultured bacterium. RNAcentral describes it as "partial 16S ribosomal RNA". It matches the Rfam family "Bacterial small subunit ribosomal RNA", at positions 31 to 507 of the family's 1533-position model. The record is from RNAcentral.
GAAGAAAGCUGGCGGCGUGCCUAAUACAUGCAAGUUGAGCGCUGAAGGUUGGUACUUGUACCAACUGGAUGAGCAGCGAACGGGUGAGUAACGCGUGGGGAAUCUGCCUUUGAGCGGGGGACAACAUUUGGAAACGAAUGCUAAUACCGCAUAAAAACUUUAAACACAAGUUUUAAGUUUGAAAGAUGCAAUUGCAUCACUCAAAGAUGAUCCCGCGUUGUAUUAGCUAGUUGGUGAGGUAAAGGCUCACCAAGGCGAUGAUACAUAGCCGACCUGAGAGGGUGAUCGGCCACAUUGGGACUGAGACACGGCCCAAACUCCUACGGGAGGCAGCAGUAGGGAAUCUUCGGCAAUGGACGAAAGUCUGACCGAGCAACGCCGCGUGAGUGAAGAAGGUUUUCGGAUCGUAAAACUCUGUUGGUAGAGAAGAACGUUGGUGAGAGUGGAAAGCUCAUCAAGUGACGGUAACUACCCAGAAAGGGACGGCUAACUACGUG